AAUAUGUUGGGGGUGGGGAGGCGACAUACCAUAAAGCAGUGUCUAUUCAGUGGAAACUGUGGCUGGAAGGGGCUGGAGGGCUGUAUCUGCUUUUCCUCAGCAGACAAAACUCCUAUUGAAUCCAUAAGAAGGCAGGGAUUGGUAUCCAAACUUAUGUAUAGCUUGAUUGUCCUCUAAGAGUAAGAGAAAGAUGUAGACAUCUAUGAUUUGAUUUUCUUGUUAUAGAUCAGUGGUUUUCAAUCUUGGCUACAUAUAGAAACCACCUGGGAACUUUCAAAACUCCCAAUGCCCAGGCCGCACUCCAGACCAACUAAAUCACAACCUCCGCGUUUGGGACCCAGGCAUCAAUUGUUAUCAAAGCUUCCCAGGUGAUGCCAAUGUGCGGACAAGUUUGAGAACCACUGGACCAUCGCAGGAAAUUCUGUUUACAGACAUGGAAACACCUACCGACUUGCUGACAUCUGUGGCGUUUGAUUUCAUCCCAGUUUAUCAUGCUAUUUUUGGCCACUACUGUAUAUUUACAAAAUUUUGUAAGUUCAUCAUCAUCACCAUCAUAUCAUUAUGGUUAUCAUCUCUUAUGCCCUUAGAAGAAAAAUGAUGGUAAACAAUUAAACUAAAUAAACAACCUGUAAUAAGAGGCUAAAAUGGAAAAUGGAUUAAAUGUACCAGCACUGUUGAAUCAGAGACUGAGAGUGGGGCCCAGAAAUCUGUGUUUUAACAAGCUCUCCAGGUGAUUCUGACGCAUGGCCAAGUUUGAGGCUAUAAAUAUUUCUCCAAAUAUUGAUUUAUAGCAUCCCAUAGGAAUUGCUGUGUUUUCACUCACUUAAAAUAAUAUGUACUUUCAAUUUUGAUUUACCUCUUAGUUUAAAGGUAAUAUAGAGGAAUGUUUUAAAAUUCCAAGUUGGUUGAUUUUUUGUUGCUAAUUUCCAGGUUUUUUGCAUUUAGAUAAUAUAGGAUAGAUGAUUUUUAGUUUUUGGAUUCAAGUGAAAAUUUCUUUGAGUCCCAGACCAAUUUUACAAUGUUUCAUGGGUUUUGGAAAAGAAUGCAUAUCAUUUUGAGUACAUGUGUUUGUAUCUAUUCAGUCAGGCUUGUUAAUUCAGUUAUUUAUUGCAUGCUCGAUCUGCUAGUUUCUGAUUAUAGAGGCGUGAAAGACUCCGCUCUGUGGUUUGCCAAUUGUUCUUCACGUUUCCAACAUUUUUGUUUCGUAUCUUUCAAAACUAUGCCCUUGCAUAAAAACUCAUGAGUAUUAUACCUUCUUGAUAAUUUUAUUAGUAUACAUAGUAUUUUGUUAGCUUAUAUCAUUCCCAGUUAAUGUUAUUUUUGCC
Molecule: long non-coding RNA, 1325 nt
Filed under: Equus asinus (donkey)
Lineage: Eukaryota; Metazoa; Chordata; Mammalia; Perissodactyla; Equidae
Description: lncRNA (ENSEASG00005032206.1, ENSEASG00020009078.1)
Source: RNAcentral